CAGCCCUAUAAGACAUAAGUAUCCAUGCAUGUGGUAAUACACAAUAGCUAUUCUUGUAUCCCUACUGAUCUGCCAUCUAAAAUAUUUCAUGAUUUAUUGUUUCAGGUUUACCCACCAGCUGAAUAAAAUUCACAGCUACCAUAACUAAGCUCCUCGCUAACUUCAAAAGUACUGUUAUUCUUCUUUCUCAAAUAGUAGAGCCAGCUACUGUACAGUCGGCAAGGAGCAAUCUGGUCACACACUGCCACCAGUCCCAGGGUACAGACUCAGCGGCGGGCAGUCUUGCCGGCCGCAGUGCUCCCGCUAUGAGCCGGCUGCAGCCUCCGAAGCGGGACGCCGGCGCCUCCUCGGACGAGGAGGUGCUUGAUGACGUGCCGAUCGACGAGUUCGCGGCGGCCACGCUGCGUCUGGCGGCCAGUCCGUCGCCGGCGCCGGCCGAGGCCGACCGGGCCGUGUCCGAGGAGGCGGUGCCGGUGCCGGCGGUGCGCGCAGCGUCCAUCUACAGUCCGGACGGGGGGCCGGAGCCGCCGGCCGGACUGACGGCGCCGCCGCCGCCGGCCGCCAGCGCCGACAGCUCUCCGGCCAGCUCCGACUCGGGCACCAAGACGUUCUUUUCGACUCGCACCGGCGCGUUCGAGACUGCCGUCAACAAGUGCAAGAGGGUGCUGCUGCCCUCUGACGGCCAGUUCCACAGCGCCUGGCUGCUCACACUGAUCGACCACUGGGACGUGGAGAAGGAGCGGCUGGUGCUGCUGUCGGAGCGCGCGCUGCUCAUCAUCAAGUACGACUUCAUCGCGCUGCAGGCGGUGGCCGUGACUCGGGUGCCGCUCAACGCCCCCGACCGGAUCGUCAUCGGCGAGAUCACCUACCCGCCGACCUCUAUCACACCGCGGAUCUCGGGUAUUGCCGGCGGCCUGGUGUCGGUGGUGAAGGGCUGCCUGAUGGGCCGCGUCGGACAGACGGUCAGCCAGCUCAGACACUGCGUGCCGGGCGGGCCGCCGCACCGGUCGGCCGUCUCCACCAACGGCGCCGUCAGCUUCCAGCCGCGGUACCGGCGCGCCUCUGGCGUGCGGAUCAGCUGGGACGGCGGUCGGCCGCUGUCACUGACACAGAGCUGGAACCCGCUGGCCAGCGACAUCCCCUUCGUGACGCUCACCUCGCACUCACUGUUCUGGGAGCUGGGGGAGCCGGCGGACGGCUCUGGCCGCUGGGAGCGGUACAGCGUGCAGGCGUUCUGCCGGCCGCUGCUGGAGCUGGUGUCCCGCGAGCAGGAGCGGCCCGACACGCCGUCCCACUGCGUCACAGAGCGCUGCCCCAUCGUCGUCAGCAACUACGUGGGCGUGCUCAGCCUGCUGCACAACGCCACAGACCUGGGAUUCUUCAAGAACCGCGGCCGGGUCAGUUUCUAGCGCGCCGGCGCCGGCCGGGGGCGGCCCGGGGUUACUGGCGGCCGGCCGGGGGCGGCCCGGGCUUACUGGCGGCCGCCGCAGAGCUUCGGUUCGCCAGGACAGGUUAUCGAGCUUUUCCAGAAGGGUAGUGGUCAGCGGUGCUGUUACUGGGUGCGUUGGUCUGGUGGUCGCUGUCCUUGGUGUACUGUGGGGUCGUGGGCUCACUUCGGUGACUGUCAGUGGACUGGGUGUGCCCGUCGACUGUCGGCGGACCGGGUGUGUCCCGUCGGCUGUCAGUGGACUGGCUGUCCACCGUUGGAUGGGCCCCGUUGGUUGGAGGCUAGCGGACAGGCUGACCGGUAGCGGUAGCGUUGAUUUGUGAAAGUACGUAUCACCCUGCCCACUAGUGUCAAAUUCCUCCGGUUCAUGUGCGAAGCCGCAUACACUGUAAUUUCUUUGUAGUUGAAAGUACGAUAUAUUAUAUAUCGUCUGGCGAAUAAUACCAAAGAUAAGUGCAAUGGAGACACUAGUCAAACCUGUGGUAUUUAUAACUACAUAAAAUUCAAUAAGCAAAAGGAUGAUGUUUCUUGAUGUUGUUAUCAAAUAUCAGAUUUUGUGUGUUAUUCAAUGUGCAGUAAAAUGAUAAUGAUCCUAGCAAUUUCUCUCAACUUGAUAUUCUUGUAAAAUUGGAGACUUUUUCCAGUGUUCAUUGAAAUCUUGUUAUAUCCAAUAAUUUAGCUAGUGUGACAGGUGCGUUAUUUUUUAACCAUUUAUUUUUAUUUUAGCUUUGUGUGGUACACCUUACCGCAUUUGCCGGGGCUGUCAACUAUAAUAUGUUAUUCCUCUUAAGUCUUUUAUAUUCGAUGUUCGAUUCAUUUUAGCCAGCUCUGACGGAUAAUGAGCUUUUGAAAUCCACAAGACCGCUGAGCUGGCGAAGGACAUUGCUUAUUUUGCAAGACUGAGUGCCAUUUUUCGCUGCAUUUCAUUUUCGUAUGAUUUUGCACAUUCCAUCGAAACAGCAUAUACAUUCAUGUGAGCUUAUAAAUGGUGUAUUUUCGAGGAUGCAUGCUCAUGUUGAUACAAUUACCAAAUACGUUGCUGAUCUUCUCUUGCUCGAAAAUUAAUUGUGAAGCGUAUAUUUCCGGUCUUUAGAAUGUAUGAUGAGAACUUUAGGGGAAUAAACGAUGCAUGCGAUGUGCGUGUAUUCAUA
This is an RNA transcript of Amphibalanus amphitrite, 2598 nucleotides long. It is a transcript of the gene named tumor protein p63-regulated gene 1-like protein, with no coding region annotated. The record is from RefSeq and is a predicted model, not a curated record. The transcript is spliced from 7 exons. Lineage: Eukaryota; Metazoa; Arthropoda; Thecostraca; Balanomorpha; Balanidae.